UACGUAGGCAGCGAGCGUUGUUCGGAGUUACUGGGCGUAAAGGGUGUGUAGGCGGUUGUUUAAGUUUGGUGUGAAAUCUCCCGGCUCAACUGGGAGGGUGCGCCGAAAACUGGAGGCUAGAGUGCGGGAUGGGAGAGUGGAAUUCCUGGUGUAGCGGUGAAAUGCGUAGAUAUCUGGAGGAACACCGGUGGCGAAGGCGGCAUCCUGGACCGGUAUUGACGCUGAGGCGCGAAAGCCAGGGGAGCAAACGGG
Molecule: ribosomal RNA, 252 nt
Filed under: uncultured bacterium
Lineage: Bacteria
Description: partial 16S ribosomal RNA
Rfam family: Bacterial small subunit ribosomal RNA
Source: RNAcentral